Molecule: transfer RNA, 46 nt
Filed under: Riccardia corbieri
Lineage: Eukaryota; Viridiplantae; Streptophyta; Jungermanniopsida; Metzgeriales; Aneuraceae
Description: Aneura corbieri partial tRNA-Phe
Source: RNAcentral
AUUUUUUGUUAUCAUCGUGAUAAUAAAAUUGCCGGGAUAGCUCAGU